AGGCGCGCGAUACAGGGUGACAGCCCCGUACACAAAAAUGCACAUGCUGUGAGCUCGAUGAGUAGGGCGGGACACGUGGUAUCCUGUCUGAAUAUGGGGGGACCAUCCUCCAAGGCUAAAUACUCCUGACUGACCGAUAGUGAACCAGUACCGUGAGGGAAAGGCGAAAAGAACCCCGGCGAGGGGAGUGAAAAAGAACCUGAAACCGUGUACGUACAAGCAGUGGGAGCACGCUUAGGCGUGUGACUGCGUACCUUUUGUAUAAUGGGUCAGCGACUUAUAUUCUGUAGCAAGGUUAACCGAAUAGGGGAGCCGAAGGGAAACCGAGUCUUAACUGGGCGUUAAGUUGCAGGGUAUAGACCCGAAACCCGGUGAUCUAGCCAUGGGCAGGUUGAAGGUUGGGUAACACUAACUGGAGGACCGAACCGACUAAUGUUGAAAAAUUAGCGGAUGACUUGUGGCUGGGGGUGAAAGGCCAAUCAAACCGGGAGAUAGCUGGUUCUCCCCGAAAGCUAUUUAGGUAGCGCCUCGUGAAUUCAUCUCCGGGGGUAGAGC
Molecule: ribosomal RNA, 555 nt
Filed under: Escherichia coli
Lineage: Bacteria; Pseudomonadati; Pseudomonadota; Gammaproteobacteria; Enterobacterales; Enterobacteriaceae
Description: partial 23S ribosomal RNA
Rfam family: Bacterial large subunit ribosomal RNA
Source: RNAcentral